UUGGGCCUACGGGGCGCAGCAGUGAGGAAUAUUGGUCAAUGGGCGGAAGCCUGAACCAGCCAAGUCGCGUGAGGGAAGAAGGCCCUGCGGGUCGCAGACCUCUUUGGACGGGGAGCAAAGCCGCCGACGUGUCGGCGGAAGGAGAGUACCCGUAGAACAAGCAUCGGCUAACUCCGGCCCAGCAGCCGCGGUAAUACGGAGGAUGCGAGCGUUAUCCGGAUUUAUUGGGUUUAAAGGGUG
Molecule: ribosomal RNA, 240 nt
Filed under: uncultured bacterium
Lineage: Bacteria
Description: partial 16S ribosomal RNA
Rfam family: Bacterial small subunit ribosomal RNA
Source: RNAcentral